This is a long non-coding RNA of Peromyscus eremicus (cactus mouse), 535 nucleotides long. RefSeq lists it as uncharacterized. The transcript is spliced from 3 exons. Lineage: Eukaryota; Metazoa; Chordata; Mammalia; Rodentia; Cricetidae. The record is from RefSeq and is a predicted model, not a curated record.
CUGAAACAGAGCUUGUAACAGAAUUUUCAUGCCGAUUCUGUUUCUUACAGAUCCAAUAAGCAAUGUCAAAAUAAAUGAGUGUUUUCUAAAGGGGGACACAACUCACUCUUUCAUUGUGGAUGUCACCAAGCAUUGUGGACGCUCGGAUCACAUCGAGGCUCUGGAAGUUGUUUCUUGCGAUUUUCACAACCUUUUCCAGUUUUCUGCAGGAAAUCACGACCAGGCCUAACAUCAAAUUUGAAGUCUCCAGAAAGAUGAUGGGGCUCCACAACAAUGAUUCCACAUGGACAAUAAUCAUACCACUAAGCUGACAAACAUCACAGAUCAGCUUUGGACUACAAACUGCUCAGAACAAUUUCGAAUUGGCUAGCUGAGAUGAUCCAGUUUCACAGUCUACUUGAACAAGGACGUGAGAUAAGCCCUGAACUUUAGCAUUAUGCAGAGACUGGACAACAAAUGAUAAAGCUACCUUUCCUAGAACUUGACAAUUAACCCCCAAUUUUUCUUUUCAGAAUAAAGAUGCCUUUGCCCACAA